CGUACACUCCUACGGGAGGCAGCAGUGGGGAAUUUUAGACAAUGGGCGAAAGCCUGAUCCAGCCAUGCCGCGUGCAGGAUGAAGGCCUUCGGGUUGUAAACUGCUUUUGUACGGAACGAAACGGCCUUUUCUAAUAAAGAGGGCUAAUGACGGUACCGUAAGAAUAAGCACCGGCUAACUACGUGCCAGCAGCCGCGGUAAUACGUAGGGUGCAAGCGUUAAUCGGAAUUACUGGGCGUAAAGCGUGCGCAGGCGGUUAUGUAAGACAGUUGUGAAAUCCCCGGGCUCAACCUGGGAACUGGAUCUGUGACUGCAUAGCUAGAGUACGGUAGAGGGGGAUGGAAUUCCGCGUGUAGCAGUGAAAUGCGUAGAUAUGCGGAGGAACACCGAUGGCGAAGGCAAUCCCCUGGACCUGUACUGACGCUCAUGCACGAAAGCGUGGGGAGCAAACAGGAUUAGAAACCCCAGUAGUCCCA
Molecule: ribosomal RNA, 476 nt
Filed under: uncultured organism
Description: partial 16S ribosomal RNA
Rfam family: Bacterial small subunit ribosomal RNA
Source: RNAcentral